This 240-nucleotide ribosomal RNA is filed under the name uncultured bacterium. RNAcentral's name for it is "partial 16S ribosomal RNA". It matches the Rfam family "Bacterial small subunit ribosomal RNA", at positions 524 to 763 of the family's 1533-position model. The record is from RNAcentral.
UACGUAGGUGGCAAGCGUUAUCCGGAUUUACUGGGUGUAAAGGGCGUGUAGGCGGGAAAGCAAGUCAGAUGUGAAAACCAUGGGCUCAACCCAUGGCCUGCAUUUGAAACUGUUUUUCUUGAGUACUGGAGAGGCAGACGGAAUUCCUAGUGUAGCGGUGAAAUGCGUAGAUAUUAGGAGGAACACCAGUGGCGAAGGCGGUCUGCUGGACAGCAACUGACGCUGAGGCGCGAAAGCGUG